This 664-nucleotide ribosomal RNA is filed under the name Microsporidium sp. BPAR17. RNAcentral's name for it is "SSU rRNA". It matches the Rfam family "Microsporidia small subunit ribosomal RNA", at positions 46 to 788 of the family's 1311-position model. The record is from RNAcentral. Lineage: Eukaryota; Fungi; Microsporidia.
AGCCAUGCAGUUAAUGUAAUAAAGGAUAAAUAGCUCAGUAAAACUACGAUUAUUUACUCUGUUUGAAAAGAUAACUACGUGAAAAUGUAGCUAAUUAUACAGAAUAAGACGUAGAACUAUCAGUUUGUUGGCAGUGUAACGGACUACCAAGACUAUGACGGUUAACGGGGAAUCAGGGUUUGAUACCGGAGAGGGAGCCUGAGAGAUUGCUCCCACGUCCAAGGACGGCAGCAGGCGCGAAAAUUGCCCACUCUUGUAGGAGGCAGUUAUGAGACGUUGUUUUGUGCUUUUCAAAAAGAAGCAAGAAAAUUGGAGGGCAAGUUUGGUGCCAGCAGCCGCGGUAAUACCGACUCCAAGAGUGUGUAUGAGAGAUGCUGCAGUUAAAAAGUCCGUAGUUUUAUAGAGGAGCCAAUGGGGAUGAUAGUAUAUAAGGGCGAGAGAUGAAAUGUCAAGACCCCUUGUGGACUAAGCGAGGCGAAAGCGAUUAUCUUGUGGGUAUUCUUUGAUCAAGGACGAAGGGUGGAGGAUCGAAAGUGAUUAGAUACCGCCGUAGUUCCACCAGUAAAAUAUGCCGACAUGUUUUUUGGAAACAAGAAACAGGGAGAAAUCUUAGAGUUCGGGCUCUGGGGAUAGUAUGCUCGCAAGAGUGAAAAUUAAAGAAAUU